Monodelphis domestica (gray short-tailed opossum) is the source of this 2144-nucleotide long non-coding RNA. RefSeq lists it as uncharacterized. The record is from RefSeq and is a predicted model, not a curated record. NCBI's taxonomy places the organism in Eukaryota, Metazoa, Chordata, Mammalia, Didelphimorphia, Didelphidae.
AGCUUCAAAUUUGCCUAGAUGGGUAAACUGAGGCAUUUCUAUCCCUCUAGAAUUCUGAGUGGCCUCCACUCUGUAUGGAUUAGAAUUUUUGGGGAGCUUGCAACUCCAGAAAUUACUCUAAUGAGCAUAUAGGAGGCUUGAUAAGAUCCUGGCAGAGAAAAAGCAGCUUUAUUUGAAGAAAACAGCAGACAGCAUGGAAGGGGGAGGGUGAGAAGAAGAAAAGGAAAAGGGAUUAUUCCCACAGAAGUGGUUGCCUCGGGGCAAAAAUGUCUUCCCUCCUUCUAUGAAUAAUCACAGACUUUUAUAUUAAUCCUGACAAAAAUUCUCCUCCUUCCCUCGGUCCUAUCCUGGACAUGGGGGAUGGCUUUGGGUUAGACUGUGACUUUCACAGUCUUGAGCACCUGAUUUGCAACAUUACCUAUCCCUAAAGACCCCCAUGAUCAAAAAACUCUUGACUAUCAUGGGAUUUUCAGUCUAGGACAGUAACGAUACAAUUGAAACUCACUGUUCCUUCUUCCUUCAGCCUAUCUCAUAAUUGGUAUUCUUCCCAGGGUACAGAUAAAUUCUUUGCAAAGUUUUUGAAAAUAGGUCAGGAAAACAAAAAAGUUUAUGGGGUGGGGCGAGGAGGACAGUUUUAGUCUAAGAAAUAGUAACAGUCAGGAGUCUUGAAAAUUGGGGCUGUAAGCUAAAUACUUCUCUGAGAAUUACACAGAAAAUUUCAUUCCACAAAGUCUACAUACAUCCCUUUUCCAGUUUAAAAUCUACUCAAAAUUAUCAAUUGCUUGUGAAAUGCAAUUUGCAAUAUGUGAUCAACAAGUAAACAUCUCAUAAGUGCACCUGGCAUUUUCAGAACAAAAGAUGUAGUUAGCGAAGGAUGUUGACACCAAACCAGUUGACACUCUUUUCCAGGCAGAGGUGGAGAGACUUAUUAACCCAUUCCAACAGACUCCUGCAGAAUCCAACUGUUUUGGAAUCUUCAGACACUAAAUAUAUCCUACUUCUGCCUGGUCCCAACAUUUAAACUAAAAUAAACUCUCAGUUAUCCAGGUGGCUGAGUCAGUCUCAGAGUACACUAGGAUGCUUAGAGUUUCUAACUGCAAGAUGAAUUCAAGGGAUAUAAGGAUGAGGGACUCUCAAAACCUACAAUAAUGCUUCAAAGCAGAAUUGUCUUCCUUUCAAGAAGAACUAAGAGUUCAAUGAUGGAGCCAAAUUACUGAUCAACACAGUGAUACUCACCUGACAGAGGAGGGAUGACCUCAAGAUGCAGAAUGAAAAAUGAAUGUUUUGGACAUGGCUGGUGCUGGACUUUGGUUUGAUUAUUCAUAUUCUUCCAAAGCUUUUGUUUUCUCUCCUCCACCCCCAAGUGAGAACCGGAGUAACAAGGCAAAGGGGGACAACAUGAAUGUUUACUCAUUGAAAAAGUUAAGUUUGCAAAACAGUUUCUUGAACUGAAUGAAUAGAGGUAGAGAGAGGACAUCAAAGUUUGAGUAAAUUCUCUACUGAGGAUUUCUAGAAGGUCAUAAAGAAUUAACACACAGGCUUAGAAGGAAUAGAUGGAUUUCAUUCUGUAUUGGUGCUAGACGAACCCACCUGCAUAAUCUAAGUGAGAAACCACUCCAGUAUAUUUGCCAAGUAAACCUCCAAUGGGAUUAUGAAGAGUCAAACACAAUGUACAAGACCAAAUAAAAAUAAAAAAAAUGUUCUUGGGAUUAACUACAUAAUAUUAGUCAGGUCCUUAUCUCAUUAGACAGGUAGGGGGUAUAAUGUUUGGAGCACUAGAGCAGAGGCAGUUUCCCAAACUGUAAAAUGAGGAUAAUCUACCUGCCAGAGUUGUUGGGAUGACCAAAUGAGAUACUUAAGAGCCUAGCACAGUGAUGGCAAAGAUAAGACAUGGGUGCCUCUCUCUGUGGGCACAUGUGCCACCCUGCCCCCCUCUAGAGUGUAUUACUAGAAAGGCAGAGGGACUUGGGCAGAGCUGCUCCCUUUUCCCUCUCUACUGUGCCAGAUGACAGUUUUUUCACACCAGCCACCCAGUGGGAGCACUCUGUGGAGUAAGGGGUGGGGACAGGGUGCCUGGUCUCUAAAAGGUUUGUCAUUACUGCCCUAGCACAUAUUAGGUACUUAAUAAAUGCUCCUUUCCUCUC